Long non-coding RNA from Oncorhynchus kisutch (coho salmon), 1553 nucleotides. RefSeq lists it as uncharacterized. The transcript has 3 exons. The record is from RefSeq and is a predicted model, not a curated record. Lineage: Eukaryota; Metazoa; Chordata; Actinopteri; Salmoniformes; Salmonidae.
CGUUCUAACCACUAGGCUACCCUGCCGACUAUGAACAGGGCACCUGGUUUACGCCCCGGAGGCAGGAGGGGUUCCAAAACGAAUGCCAGAUUAAUCGAGUCCCCUCUAUGAAGGGAAGCGAAGUAGGAGGUUGGUCAAUUUUCACGUGGAGCUAGGCAAAAUUAGAUUUGUUUACAUAAUUGAAUCCUACAGAUGAAGAACCAUAUAUGUGACAUAAAAAAAUUGAUAUACAUGAAAAAUCAUUAUUGGACACCCUUUUUCUAUAGUGAACCGGUUUCACAAGCUUUCCACGCGCUAUUUAACAAUCAUUUUAAAUUUAAAGAUAGGCUCUCGUGGAAUAACCGUUUAUGUGCACCACUCAGAAUGGACGGACAAGCAAACAACUUUUCUGUUGCUGAUGAAAAUCGCCGAAAUGUGGGAAAGAAACGUAAAACAAAACUAAUAGAAUGGAAAGACAGGCGAAGGAAGAUCUUACGGGAUGCUGGAAAACCCUAUACAAAUCGUAAGGGUUAAGAAAAAACUGGGAAAAGCUGUCCAAAAUAGGGAUCCUGCAGGGAUUGCACACCGAGGGCCCUGCAUAUUGAAGUGGGUGAAGGCAAAAUUCACGCCACUCACCAAACCAGAGGUGCGCAAGUUGAUCAUAUUCAGUGACAGAUGCUGUGGGCAGAAUAACAACUGUCUGAUGCUCAAUCUGAUGUCGAUGCUCGUCUCUAUGGGUUACUUUACCCAAGUUGAGCAGAAGUUCAUGGUCUCUGGUCAUUCUUUUCUUCAUUGUGAUUGAUCUUUUGCCACCAUCGAGAAGAGGCACAAGUUGUCAGUCCUUCAUACACCUGAUGAUGUUUCAAAGAUGAUACUUGAAGCACAACCAGCAAAACCAUUCAAGGUGAUGAGGAUGCAAUGUGAAGACUUCAGGCACCUCCCAGAUCCUGUCCUCAAGCGACCAGCUGGACUACAGAUCACCUCAGUGAAGUGGUUAAAAAGUCACAGUUGAGGAUCCUUGGAAUCUGUACGCCAGACAGAGCCACAGUCUAUUUGAGGGAUGGAAAUCGUGGCUGAUCUCCAAACCACAACAAGGAGCUACACCUCAACCUCCCUAUUUUGCAAGCCACUACCCUAGAACAUAUGAGAGUCCUCUGCCCAUAAAAAAAAACAAGUACCAAGAUCUGAUGACCAUGCUCAACUACUUGCCAGCUGCUGCACGCUCUUUUUAUAAAUCACUGCAGAGUGAAUAAUUUGUUGUUAAACCAGUCUACAUAAUUAACUGCUUUUUGCUGUGAGUUUAUGAUCCCCUGAACCUGUAUAGUAUGUUGAAUCUGAAUACAUUUCAGAAGACAUGUCACCCCUAUUAGGAAAUUAAAUGUAUAGUAGGUGUUUUCUAUGUGAAUCAAUUUGUGUAUGAUUUGAACCAGCACAAUAUAAUGAAUUAAUUUAAUUUUAAGAUGUUCCUAGUGUAGAAAAUGUUAUGUACAAUGUGUUCUGUUGAGAAUUAUUUUGUGUGUGAUCAUUUGAACUUUUUUUUAUCUGAAUUAAUUAAAAACAAAUAAGUCAUCACA